AGUGAACGCUGGCGGUAGGCCUAACACAUGCAAGUCGAACGGCAGCACAGUAAGAGCUUGCUCUUACGGGUUGCGAGUGGCGGACGGGUGAGGAAUACAUCGGAAUCUACUUUUUCGUGGGGGAUAACGUAGGGAAACUUACGCUAAUACCGCAUACGACCUACGGGUGAAAGCAGGGGAUCUUCUGACCUUGCGCGAUUGAAUUAGCCGAUGUCGGAUUAGCUAGUGGGCUGGGGAAAGGCCCACCAAGGCGACGAUCCGUAGCUGGUCUGAGAGGAUGAUCAGCCACACUGGAACUGAGACAGCGUCAAGACUCCUAAGGGAGGCAGCAGUGGGGAAUAUUGGACAAUGGGCGCAAGCCUGGUCCAGCCAUACCGCGUGGGUGAAGAAGGCCUUCGGGUUGUAAAGACGUUUUGUUGGGAAAGAAAAGCAGCAGGUUAAUACCCCGCUGUUCUGACGGUACCCAAAGAAUAAGCACCGGCUAACUUCGUG
RNAcentral lists this ribosomal RNA (492 nucleotides) under uncultured bacterium. RNAcentral describes it as "partial 16S ribosomal RNA". It matches the Rfam family "Bacterial small subunit ribosomal RNA", at positions 29 to 507 of the family's 1533-position model. The record is from RNAcentral.